This is a non-coding RNA of Salmo salar (Atlantic salmon), 58 nucleotides long. Lineage: Eukaryota; Metazoa; Chordata; Actinopteri; Salmoniformes; Salmonidae. The record is from Rfam.
UAGCUCAGUUGGUAGAGCAUGGUGUUUGCAACGCCAGGGUUGUGGGUUCAAUUUCCAC